This is a small nucleolar RNA of Molossus molossus (Pallas's mastiff bat), 120 nucleotides long. RefSeq annotates it as small nucleolar RNA SNORA28. The transcript has a single exon. NCBI's taxonomy places the organism in Eukaryota, Metazoa, Chordata, Mammalia, Chiroptera, Molossidae. The record is from RefSeq and is a predicted model, not a curated record.
AUUUAAAACUUAAUGGUAGACAAAACGGUCUGACACAAUUUGAGCUUGCUAUAGCAGCAAAGUUUUACCUGUUUUGGUGCUCUCUCCUCUGAGACAAGCCGUUAUAUAGACUCAGAUAGU